GACGAACGCUGGCGGCGUGCCUAAUACAUGCAAGUAGAACGCACAGUUUAUACCGUAGCUUGCUACACCAUAGACUGUGAGUUGCGAACGGGUGAGUAACGCGUAGGUAACCUGCCUGGUAGCGGGUGAUAACUAUUGGAAACGAUAGCUAAUACCGCAUAAUAUUAAUUAUUGCAUGAUAAUUGAUUGAAAGAUGCAACUGCAUCACUACCAGAUGGACCUGCUUUGUAUUAGCUAGUAGGUGAGGUAACGGCUCACCUAGGCGACGAUACAUAGCCGACCUGAGAGGGUGAUCGGCCACACUGGGACUGGGACACGGCCCAAACUCCUACGGGAGGGAGCAGUAAGGAAUCUUCGGCAAUGGACGAAAGUCUGACCGAGCAACGCCGCGUGAGUGAAGAAGGUUUUCGGAUCGUAAAGCUCUGUUGUAAGGGAAGAACGGGUGUGAGAGUGGAAAGUUCACACUGUGACGGUAUCUUACCAGAAAGGGACGGCUAACUACGUG
RNAcentral lists this ribosomal RNA (505 nucleotides) under uncultured bacterium. Its description in RNAcentral is "partial 16S ribosomal RNA". It matches the Rfam family "Bacterial small subunit ribosomal RNA", at positions 28 to 507 of the family's 1533-position model. The record is from RNAcentral.